UUUACAACAUCACAAUGUCCUUAUUUGCAAUAUUAAAUAUCAAGCAAGUUAGUGUUCACAGAUAUCUAAUCCUCAUGAAUAAAGAAUAAUUAUUGCACUGUUAUCUGCAAGUUUGUUAUUCACAGUAUAACAUAACUUGCCAAUUAAAUUUUAAAAAUGCUUUGAUUUUCAUUUUAUAUUUACAAUAACGAGAAAAUAAAAUCAGUAAGAGACAGAAACGAAAAAAAAGGUCAUUUUUUUCAUUUUCUGAGACCGGAAGUAGUCAUCAGCAAGGGUGGGGCCAAACAGAGUGCUGUGCAUAGACUGUAUACCAGCAGACACUGAAAGGACUCUGAUUGUUCAGUGUCUCAUGUUCACUGUGAGGAUCUUCUGAGUGAAGCCAACAGAAGGAAAACCUCAUCUGGAUGUGAAGAAGGAGACUGAAUGGAUGACAUCCUCAGUGAACCACUUCCUGUUUAGUUUUCACUUACAGAAGGACAGACCAACUGUUUCAGCAGUUUAUUAUUCUCUGUUCAUGCAGACAGGUGCUCUGCUUUGGAGUGUGACGAUGUCGUCGGUGAUGUGGAGAGGGAAGUUUCCGUUUCACCCACAGCGUGCUUUAGGACACCCGGAGUGAAAGUAGCAGUUCCUCCUUAAGGUCAGAGACUGCAGCAUCUGAGGGCCUCUUCAAAAGAAGACGUAGUUGAUGAAGAUAAAGAUGAAGGCGUUCUGGAGCACGACCAAGCAGCCUGGAGAUCUCAGGCAGCGUCUCCCUCAGGUGGGUGUCAACGGUGUUCACGGUCAGGUCCGUGGUAAAAAAACAAAACAGAAAAAUUCUAGAUUAUAAAUCAACAUGUAACCAAAGCACUGUGUGUAUAACACCAUAGUAUAGGAUGUAGUUCAGGAAAUGUCAAAGUAUAGUAUACUUUUCAAGAAUAACAUAGUACGGCCUGUAGUUCAUAGUAUAGCAUGUCAGCAACAAAAUAAAACCAUAGAUUAUUAUGUGGUUCAAAAAGCGGAAGUUCAAUGGCAAGAAGAAGGCGUGGAGGAUGAUGUUGAUGAGGGGUUUCUGGAUGAUUUCGACCCAGAAAUGACUGAGGAAGAUGUCGUUGCUGGGCUCAAGAGACUGGCACAAUUUGAAGAUGUUGAUAAGAUGAUGUAGAUGGACAUCUAGUUCAACUAAGUUGAGAUUGUAAAGACGAAUAGAGACUGAUUUUUUUUGUAAUGAGAGACUGAUUAUUUCGAUUCUAAUGGUAAGCAGGUUGUAAGAGAAGAGCUCAUUAAAAGAAAUUGACUUCCUGAGAAGUUAUAUUUAUUUUUUAUUUUAUGUAAACAACGCGAAGUACGGGCCACUAGUUUUUUGUACGGGCUACCAGAAAUUUAGAUUUGGCAGGAGUUGGUGGCCCAUAUUUUCCUGUACGGGCCACCAGAGAUUUUGACGAAGCUUACACACUGUGGCAGGAUGUUGUAUGAUAUGUGGUUCAAAAAAUGACAAUGAACAAUUCAAAGGUCCCUCUCUAUCUCCCCACACAUCCACCAACCAUUGGAACACAUCUCCAAAGUUCUGCUGAAGCUCAGCUUCCCCUCGGAAGAAGUGCUGCCAGAUGAAGGAGCUUUUUGAGAGGCAGCUGGCAUCGUGAUUGGACGGUACUUUGGUCUGAUUCAGUCCAGCUUCAGCUCCAGAGACGGCAGGCGGGACGAGUCAAAGGAGGCCGAGUAGAUGAAGGCAUGCAGCUGAGUACAAUCCAGAAAACAACAGAGGAGGAGUGCAGUGGCCCAGAGCCAGAACAGAGUAACAUAGUAUGUCACUGAGAAAACAUCAUAGUUAGCCUUUGGUUCAAGAAAACACCAUCAUAUACAUCAUAUAUUGUACAAAUAACAAAUCAAAGGAAAAAGACAUACAUUGUAGAAUUGUAGUAAUUGUGGGCUGACUGAUUUACUGAUUAUCAAUAUUUUGUUUUUUACUGAUUUACGGUAAUAAAUACAUUUAAAAAUGCCACUACUUUGGCUCUGAACCUGUAUCUACCUGUGGUCGCUCUGUCUUCUGGAGUGAUUUUAUUGGUUGUACAUCACGAAUAAAACUCCUUUAACUUAACAUCUGUAAACAAAACAAAAACGUAUCAACAAAGUUUUCUGUUAGAGUUUGUGUUCUUUUAAGUUUAACUCUAAGAUUUUAAAUACUUUCAUUUAUUGCAAAUUAAUAUCUUUUCCAAAUGUCUCACUAAUAAUCAUUAUCAGCCUUAAAAACCCACAAAACACCCCUCUAUACUCGACCACACUUAGUACAGUCCGGUUCCCCUUCUAUAAAUCUGCUUGGAAUCUUCCACUUCCUGUUUGUCAAAGUGGCCUUCUACCUGGACAGGUUUUGUUGGAGCUCAUGCAACAAAAAUUUUGGGUUACUGCACUUUAAUAUGGAUGGAUGACACUGAAUUAGAGUCUGUUUUAAUGAGACUGAGUUCAGAUGUGUAGCUCUGUCAUUAAACAGGAAAUUAUUUCUCAGAAUUCACAGAGAAAAGUCUGAAAUGUUUGCUAGGUUAGCGUCCCACGUGUUCUUUGGCUCAGCUAAAGCUAACGCUCUCCAACUUCUGGAUCUCUGGAGUUGCUUGUUGUUCGAAUAUCUUGCUAGAGGUGCUGAAGUUUACAAAGUCUGAGAUGUUUGUUCAGAAUAAGCUCAUUCUCAAGUCUUAUCUGAACUGUCCUCUUUUCUUUGAACUUUGUUUGAACUGCUGUUUGAGCAGCAGAUCCAGACUCAGUCUCAUUUAGGUAGCGAUUAAACUUCAGUGUCAUUCAUUGAUAUUAAAGUGCAGUUUUUCAGAUGUUUGUUGCACAUGCUCCCGACCAAACCAGUCCAGGUGGAAGACAAUGUGAAGAGAAGCUCCAGUGGAUGAAUAUCGCACAUUUAUGUUGGAAAUGAAUGUUCUUUUAUUGGA
This is a long non-coding RNA of Acanthochromis polyacanthus (spiny chromis), 2909 nucleotides long. RefSeq lists it as uncharacterized. NCBI's taxonomy places the organism in Eukaryota, Metazoa, Chordata, Actinopteri, Pomacentridae. The record is from RefSeq and is a predicted model, not a curated record. The transcript has 3 exons.